RNAcentral lists this ribosomal RNA (257 nucleotides) under uncultured bacterium. Its description in RNAcentral is "partial 16S ribosomal RNA". It matches the Rfam family "Bacterial small subunit ribosomal RNA", at positions 524 to 777 of the family's 1533-position model. The record is from RNAcentral.
UACGAAGGGGGCUAGCGUUGUUCGGAUUUACUGGGCGUAAAGCGCACGUAGGCGGAUCGUUAAGUCGGGGGUGAAAUCCUGGAGCUCAACUCCAGAACUGCCUUCGAUACUGGCGAUCUUGAGUCCGGAAGAGGUGAAGUGGAACUCCUAGUGUAGAGGUGGAAUUCGUAGAUAUUAGGAAGAACACCAGUGGCGAAGGCGGCUCACUGGUCCGGUACUGACGCUGGGUGCGGAAAGCGAUGGGGAGGCAAACAGGG